This 432-nucleotide ribosomal RNA is filed under the name Acinetobacter baumannii. RNAcentral describes it as "partial 23S ribosomal RNA". It matches the Rfam family "Bacterial large subunit ribosomal RNA", at positions 2517 to 2925 of the family's 2925-position model. Lineage: Bacteria; Pseudomonadati; Pseudomonadota; Gammaproteobacteria; Moraxellales; Moraxellaceae. The record is from RNAcentral.
UUUGGCACCUCGAUGUCGGCUCAUCUCAUCCUGGGGCUGAAGCAGGUCCCAAGGGUAUGGCUGUUCGCCAUUUAAAGAGGUACGCGAGCUGGGUUUAGAACGUCGUGAGACAGUUCGGUCCCUAUCUACCGUGGGCGCUGGAAAUUUGAGAGGAUCUGCUCCUAGUACGAGAGGACCAGAGUGGACGAACCUCUGGUGUACCGGUUGUGACGCCAGUCGCAUCGCCGGGUAGCUAUGUUCGGAAGGGAUAACCGCUGAAAGCAUCUAAGCGGGAAGCCUACCUCAAGAUAAGAUUUCCCUAGGACUUUAUGUCCUCUAAAGAGCCGUUCGAGACUAGGACGUUGAUAGGUUGGAUGUGGAAGCAUAGUGAUAUGUGAAGCUGACCAAUACUAAUUGCUCGUGAGGCUUGACUAUACAAAACCCAAGCAGUUG